GUUGAGGUGGGGUGUUGAUCAGUGAUGGGAACAGCACCACCGUGUCUUUCUUUCUUUAAGAUAAGUUAGAUUGAAUAAAUAUAUCAACUAAAAUCUAUCUCCCUUUCAGAAAUUUUAUCCACUUGAAUCGUUUUUUUCGAUUAUCCCCCUUUUUUCCCUCUAAGAUAUUCUUAUUUUUCUCCUCUUAAUCUUCUUCCAUUUUUUCGCUAGAAAGAAAAAACAGAAAAAAGAAAAAGAGAAACUUUAGCAGCAACAUGACGAGAAGGCAGCAGGAUUAUCCCAUAAGCUUUUGAGAUCUUUUCGCUGUGAU
This 310-nucleotide long non-coding RNA is filed under the name Nicotiana benthamiana. RNAcentral's name for it is "long non-coding RNA (NBEN_LNC011883)". Lineage: Eukaryota; Viridiplantae; Streptophyta; Magnoliopsida; Solanales; Solanaceae. The record is from RNAcentral.